CCUACGGGGGGCAGCAGUCGAGAAUAUUCCACAAUGGACGAAAGUCUGAUGGAGCGACGCCGCGUGCGGGAUGAAGGCCUUCGGGUUGUAAACCGCUUUUUUCAGGGAGCAAUUACGAUGAGAGUACCUGAAGAAUAAGAGGUUACUAACUCUGUGCCAGCAGUAGCGGUAAUACAGAGACCUCAAGCGUUAUCCGGAUUUAUUGGGCGUAAAGCGUAGGUAGGCGGGUAUGUUAGUCGGAUGUCAAAGACCGGGGCUCAACCCCGGGAAGGCAUACGAAACGGCAUAUCUAGAGAAUGUGAGAGAUCGGUGGAAUUCAUGGUGUAGUAGUGAAAUGCGUUGAUAUCAUGAGGAACACCCAAGGCGUAGGCAACCGAUUGGCACAUUUCUGACGCUGAGCUACGAAAGCGUGGGUAGCGAAUGGGAUUAGAUACCCUGGUAGUC
This 444-nucleotide ribosomal RNA is filed under the name uncultured bacterium. RNAcentral's name for it is "bacterial SSU rRNA". It matches the Rfam family "Bacterial small subunit ribosomal RNA", at positions 338 to 795 of the family's 1533-position model. The record is from RNAcentral.